This 305-nucleotide small RNA is filed under the name Chlorocebus sabaeus (green monkey). RNAcentral's name for it is "Metazoan signal recognition particle RNA (ENSCSAG00000022362.1)". The record is from RNAcentral. Lineage: Eukaryota; Metazoa; Chordata; Mammalia; Primates; Cercopithecidae.
CAAGACGGGCGGAUCACGAGGUCAGGAGCUCGAGACCAUCCUGGCUAACACGGUGAAACCCCGUCUCUACUAAAAAAUACAAAAAACUAGCCGGGCGAGGUAGCGGGCGCCUGUGGUCCCAGCUACUCCGGAGGCUGAGGCAGGAGAAUGGCGNUGCCACCAUGCCUGGCUAAUUUUUUCGUAUUUUUAGUAGAGACAGGGUUUCAUUGUGUUAGCCAGGAUGGUCUUGAUCUCCUGACCUCGUGAUCUACUCGCCUUGGCCUCCCAAAGUGCUGGGAUUACAGGCGUGAGCCACUGCACCCGGC